GACACGACUAGCUCAGUCGGUCGAGCAUGAGGCUCUUAAUCUCAGGGUCGUGGGUUCGAGCCUCGCUUUGGGACA
This is a non-coding RNA of Podarcis lilfordi (Lilford's wall lizard), 75 nucleotides long. The record is from the annotation of a GenBank genome assembly. NCBI's taxonomy places the organism in Eukaryota, Metazoa, Chordata, Lepidosauria, Squamata, Lacertidae.